CCCCAACUACCUCUGUUGGUAAAGCAUGAGACUCACAAUCUCAGGGUAGUGGGUUCGUGUCCCACGUCGGGAG
This 73-nucleotide transfer RNA is filed under the name Lepisosteus oculatus (spotted gar). It matches the Rfam family "tRNA". From Rfam's summary of the family: Transfer RNA (tRNA) molecules are approximately 80 nucleotides in length. Their secondary structure includes four short double-helical elements and three loops (D, anti-codon, and T loops). The record is from Rfam by way of RNAcentral. Lineage: Eukaryota; Metazoa; Chordata; Actinopteri; Semionotiformes; Lepisosteidae.